UGCGUAGGCGGAAUGAUAAGUUAGUGGUGAAAGCCCCCGGCUUAACCGGGGAACUGCCAUUAAUACUGUUGUUCUUGAGUAUAGUUGAAGUAGGCGGAAUGUAUCAUGUAGCGGUGAAAUGCUUAGAUAUGAUACAGAACACCGAUAGCGUAGGCAGCUUGCUAAGCUAUAACUGACGCUCAGGCACGAAAGCGUGGGGAGCAAACA
This 207-nucleotide ribosomal RNA is filed under the name uncultured bacterium. RNAcentral's name for it is "partial 16S ribosomal RNA". It matches the Rfam family "Bacterial small subunit ribosomal RNA", at positions 568 to 774 of the family's 1533-position model. The record is from RNAcentral.